CGCUAUCACUCCUACGGGGAGGCAACAGUAGGGAAUCUUCCACAAUGGGCGCAAGCCUGAUGGAGCAACACCGCGUGAGUGAAGAAGGGUUUCGGCUCGUAAAGCUCUGUUGUUUAAAGAAGAACACGUAUGAGAGUAACUGUUCAUACGUUGACGGUAUUUAACCAGAAAGUCACGGCUAACUACGUGCCAGCAGCCGCGGUAAUACGUAGGUGGCAAGCGUUAUCCGGAUUUAUUGGGCGUAAAGAGAGUGCAGGCGGUUUUCUAAGUCUGAUGUGAAAGCCUUCGGCUUAACCGGAGAAGUGCAUCGGAAACUGGAUAACUUGAGUGCAGAAGAGGGUAGUGGAACUCCAUGUGUAGCGGUGGAAUGCGUAGAUAUAUGGAAGAACACCAGUGGCGAAGGCGGCUACCUGGUCUGCAACUGACGCUGAGACUCGAAAGCAUGGGUAGCGAACAGGAUUAGAUACCCUGGUAG
This 475-nucleotide ribosomal RNA is filed under the name uncultured bacterium. RNAcentral's name for it is "bacterial SSU rRNA". It matches the Rfam family "Bacterial small subunit ribosomal RNA", at positions 328 to 793 of the family's 1533-position model. The record is from RNAcentral.